RNAcentral lists this transfer RNA (73 nucleotides) under Capra hircus (goat). It matches the Rfam family "tRNA". Rfam says of the family: Transfer RNA (tRNA) molecules are approximately 80 nucleotides in length. Their secondary structure includes four short double-helical elements and three loops (D, anti-codon, and T loops). The record is from Rfam by way of RNAcentral. Lineage: Eukaryota; Metazoa; Chordata; Mammalia; Artiodactyla; Bovidae. RNAcentral also lists the same sequence under 1 other name.
UCCCUGGUGGUCCAGUGGUUAAGACUCCAUGUUUUCAGUGCAUGGGGUGCAGGUUCAAUUCCUGGUCAGGAAA